GGCCUAACACAUGCAAGUCGAGCGGUAGAGAAGGAGCUUGCUUCUUCUUGAGAGCGGCGGACGGGUGAGUAAUGCCUAGGAAUCUGCCUGGUAGUGGGGGACAACGUUUCGAAAGGAACGCUAAUACCGCAUACGUCCUACGGGAGAAAGUGGGGGAUCUUCGGACCUCACGCUAUCAGAUGAGCCUAGGUCGGAUUAGCUUGUAGGUGAGGUAAUGGCUCACCUAGGCAACGAUCCGUAACUGGUCUGAGAGGAUGAUCAGUCACACUGGAACUGAGACACGGUCCAGACUCCUACGGGAGGCAGCAGUGGGGAAUAUUGGACAAUGGGCGAAAGCCUGAUCCAGCCAUGCCGCGUGUGUGAAGAAGGUCUUCGGAUUGUAAAGCACUUUAAGUUGGGAGGAAGGGUUGUAGCUUAAUACGCUGCAACCUUGACGUUACCAACAGAAUAAGCACCGGCUAACUCUGUGCCAGCAGCCGCGGUAAUACAGAGGGUGCAAGCGUUAAUCGGAAUUACUGGGCGUAAAGCGCGCGUAGGCGGCUUGAUAAGAUGGGUGUGAAAUCCCCGGGCUUAACCUGGGAACUGCAUCCAUAACUGUCUGGCUAGAGUACAGUAGAGGGUGGUGGAAUUUCCUGUGUAGCGGUGAAAUGCGUAGAUAUAGGAAGGAACACCAGUGGCGAAGGCGACCAC
This 690-nucleotide ribosomal RNA is filed under the name Pseudomonas sp. HCG1023. Its description in RNAcentral is "bacterial SSU rRNA". It matches the Rfam family "Bacterial small subunit ribosomal RNA", at positions 45 to 728 of the family's 1533-position model. The record is from RNAcentral. Lineage: Bacteria; Pseudomonadati; Pseudomonadota; Gammaproteobacteria; Pseudomonadales; Pseudomonadaceae.